Molecule: non-coding RNA, 826 nt
Organism: Xiphias gladius (swordfish)
Lineage: Eukaryota; Metazoa; Chordata; Actinopteri; Istiophoriformes; Xiphiidae
Source: the annotation of a RefSeq genome assembly
AUGAUGGACUACAGGACAGGGCUUCUGCUUUUAACUGUCUGCUGGGCAGGUGUCGAUGCUCAGACUCUGACAGAAUCUGAACCAGUGGUUAAAAGGCCUGGAGAAUCCCACAAACUGACCUGUACAGCCUCUGGAUUCACAUUCAGCAGCUCCUAUAUGGCCUGGAUCAGACAGGCUCCUGGAAAAGGACUGGAGUGGAUUGCUCGUAUCAGUAGCGGUGGUGGUGGCAGCACUUACUACUCUCAGUCAGUCCAAGGCCGGUUUACCAUCUCCAGAGACAACAGCAGACAGCAGGUGUAUCUGCAGAUGAACAGUCUGAAGACUGAAGAUUCUGCUGUUUAUUAUUGUGCUCGAGACUCACAGUGACUGGAGUUGGUUCAGCAGCUGUACAAAAACCUACUGUCCUCAUCUUUACCACAAUUAUCUCACAUGAUUAAUGUCCAUUGUUCAAGUAGCUCAAGAAAAUGAUAGAAUAAAGUUACACCAGACACUUUGGGAACCAAUGAUAGAAAUAUUAAUAGAAAAAUAUUUUUAAACAGAGAUACAAAUGUAGAAAUCAUGUUAUUAAAUAGGCAUCUUGCUUAACAGAGCUUCAUUAAAACGACUCCUCGACUGAGACAGUAGCUGAGCAAUAAACAGUUUGUGUAGUUAAAUGAUUUUGCUGAUUGUCUCACAUGAGAUUAACAAGUCUUUUUAUUUGUCUUAUUGUACAGGAGAUUGUAGUGCUGUUAAAAUGACAAAAUAAAUAUAGUCAGCAUAAAUAUUUUUUCUUAAAUUACAACAAUUAUUAUUUUGCAUAUCGUCACAUAAGUUUCAGUUCCUAGGC